ACCCAGCUGACCAGUCCCGAAUAAGACGAAACGCGCGUUAUGGGU
RNAcentral lists this non-coding RNA (45 nucleotides) under Schistosoma curassoni. Lineage: Eukaryota; Metazoa; Platyhelminthes; Trematoda; Strigeidida; Schistosomatidae. The record is from RNAcentral.